This 447-nucleotide ribosomal RNA is filed under the name uncultured bacterium. RNAcentral describes it as "bacterial SSU rRNA". It matches the Rfam family "Bacterial small subunit ribosomal RNA", at positions 355 to 825 of the family's 1533-position model. The record is from RNAcentral.
UGGGGAAUCUUGGACAAUGGGCGCAAGCCUGAUCCAGCCAUGCCGCGUGAGUGAAGAAGGCCUUCGGGUUGUAAAGCUCUUUUACCAGGGACGAUAAUGACGGUACCUGGAGAAUAAGCCCCGGCAAACUUCGUGCCAGCAGCCGCGGUAAUACGAAGGGGGCUAGCGUUGUUCGGAAUUACUGGGCGUAAAGCGCACGUAGGCGGAUUGUUAAGUCAGAGGUGAAAUCCCGGAGCUCAACUUCGGAACUGCCUUUGAUACUGGCAAUCUAGAGUCCGGAAGAGGUUAGUGGAAUUCCCAGUGUAGAGGUGAAAUUCGUAGAUAUUCGGAAGAACACCAGUGGCGAAGGCGACAUACUGGCUCAUUACUGACGCUGAGGCGCGAAAGCGUGGGGAGCAAACAGGAUUAGAUACCCCCGUAGUCCCUGAGCGGGCUGGCAAGGCGCAU